This 215-nucleotide ribosomal RNA is filed under the name Penicillium lagena. RNAcentral describes it as "partial 28S ribosomal RNA". It matches the Rfam family "Eukaryotic large subunit ribosomal RNA", at positions 1 to 214 of the family's 3401-position model. RNAcentral also lists the same sequence under 9 other names. Lineage: Eukaryota; Fungi; Ascomycota; Eurotiomycetes; Eurotiales; Aspergillaceae. The record is from RNAcentral.
UUGACCUCGGAUCAGGUAGGGAUACCCGCUGAACUUAAGCAUAUCAAUAAGCGGAGGAAAAGAAACCAACAGGGAUUGCCCUAGUAACGGCGAGUGAAGCGGCAAGAGCUCAAAUUUGAAAGCUGGCUCCUUCGGGGUCCGCAUUGUAAUUUGCAGAGGAUGCUUCGGGAGCGGUCCCCGUCUAAGUGCCCUGGAACGGGCCGUCAUAGAGGGUG